RNAcentral lists this ribosomal RNA (292 nucleotides) under uncultured bacterium. Its description in RNAcentral is "partial 16S ribosomal RNA". It matches the Rfam family "Bacterial small subunit ribosomal RNA", at positions 505 to 796 of the family's 1533-position model. The record is from RNAcentral.
GUGCCAGCCGCCGCGGUAAUACGGAGGGUGCAAGCGUUAUCCGGAUUCACUGGGUUUAAAGGGUGCGUAGGCGGGCAGGUAAGUCAGUGGUGAAAUCUUUGGGCUUAACCCGAAAACUGCCAUUGAUACUAUCUGUCUUGAAUAUUGUGGAGGUGAGCGGAAUAUGUCAUGUAGCGGUGAAAUGCUUAGAUAUGACAUAGAACACCCAUUGCGAAGGCAGCUCACUACGCAUAUAUUGACGCUGAUGCACGAAAGCGUGGGGAUCAAACAGGAUUAGAAACCCGUGUAGUCC